CUACGGGACGCUCCAGUGAGGAAUUUUGCGCAAUGGGGGAAACCCUGACGCAGCAACGCCGCGUGAGUGAUGAAGGCCUUCGGGUCGUAAAACUCUGUCAAGUGGGAAGAACCUAUGUAAGGUUAAUACCCUUAUGUACUGACGGUACCACUGAAGGAAGCACCGGCUAACUCCGUGCCAGCAGCCGCGGUAAUACGGAGGGUGCAAGCGUUAUUCGGAAUUAUUGGGCGUAAAGGGCGCGCAGGCGGUUUUGUAAGUCAGAUGUGAAAGCCCGGGGCUUAACCUCGGAAGUGCAUUUGAUACUGCAAGACUUGUGUAUGGGAGGGGGAAGUGGAAUUCCUGGUGUAGAGGUGAAAUUCGUAGAUAUCAGGAGGAACACCAGUGGCGAAGGCGACUUCCUGGACCAAUACUGACGCUGAGGCGCGAAGGCGUGGGGAGCAAACAGGAUUAGAUACCCCAGUAGUC
RNAcentral lists this ribosomal RNA (465 nucleotides) under uncultured bacterium. RNAcentral's name for it is "partial 16S ribosomal RNA". It matches the Rfam family "Bacterial small subunit ribosomal RNA", at positions 339 to 795 of the family's 1533-position model. The record is from RNAcentral.